GACGAACGCUGGCGGCGUGCUUAACACAUGCAAGUCGAACGGAAAGGCCCUGCUUUUGUGGGGUGCUCGAGUGGCGAACGGGUGAGUAACACGUGAGUAACCUGCCCUUGACUUUGGGAUAACUUCAGGAAACUGGGGCUAAUACCGGAUAGGAGCUCCUGCUGCAUGGUGGGGGUUGGAAAGUUUCGGCGGUUGGGGAUGGACUCGCGGCUUAUCAGCUUGUUGGUGGGGUAGUGGCUUACCAAGGCUUUGACGGGUAGCCGGCCUGAGAGGGUGACCGGCCACAUUGGGACUGAGAUACGGCCCAGACUCCUACGAGAGGCAGCAGUGGGGAAUAGUGCACAAUGGGCGGAAGCGUGAUGCAGCAACGCCGCGUGCGGGAUGACGGCCUUCGGGUUGUAAACCGCUUUCGCCGGUGACGAAGCGUGAGUGACGGUAAGGAGUAAAGAAGCACCGGCUAACUACG
This 466-nucleotide ribosomal RNA is filed under the name uncultured bacterium. Its description in RNAcentral is "partial 16S ribosomal RNA". It matches the Rfam family "Bacterial small subunit ribosomal RNA", at positions 28 to 505 of the family's 1533-position model. The record is from RNAcentral.